This 120-nucleotide ribosomal RNA is filed under the name uncultured bacterium. RNAcentral describes it as "partial 16S ribosomal RNA". It matches the Rfam family "Bacterial small subunit ribosomal RNA", at positions 354 to 469 of the family's 1533-position model. The record is from RNAcentral.
UAGGGGAAUUUUGGACAAUGGGCGCAAGCCUGAUCCAGCCAUGCCGCGUGCAGGAUGAAGGCCUUCGGGUUGUAAACUGCUUUUGUACGGAACGAAAAGCCUCUCUUUAAUAAAUGGGGG